This is a long non-coding RNA of Strigops habroptila (Kakapo), 3346 nucleotides long. The record is from Ensembl. Lineage: Eukaryota; Metazoa; Chordata; Aves; Psittaciformes; Psittacidae.
CUGCAUAUCAUUUACACUUAAUUCCUACUCUUUUCAUUUAUGCAUCUCACUUCAGAGUUUAACAUGUUUUAUAUCAGGAUAAAUUGUCUAAACCGGUGUUUUACAGCCAUUACUAGCUGUAAUUAAUUUCUCAUAAAUCUCAUUUUACUAGAAUAAUGUUGCUGUAAUGUAGUACUUAGCGUUAUCUAAAAGAUCUCGUUUAUUUGGAUUAGAGAAAUAGCAUUUUCUGUAUAUGAACUUUUAUUAUUUUUUUUUUCUGCAGUAGUUUAAGUGUUAAAGCCUGAAAGGGUUUAGAAAGCUGCAGUGAAUGUGUUAAGACUGUUAAUGAAGUCUCUGAAUCUAAGGACAAAAUUAGCUCUCACACCCACACUGCGCAAAGUACAGCAACUGUCUGAGAGAAUUGCAUCAUGACUUUUACCUGGGGACACUGGUAUUAUAUUCACUUGAAAUUAUGAAAUUGGGAAGACAGAUGUCCCCAAAGGACACUUUAAGGAGCUUGUACUUACAUAAAUUGUUUGACAAAAAUCCCUGAAAUUUGAGUAUGAGACCUAUGUAAAAAUGCUUAUUGAGUGUGAUACAUUCUAUUGUGUAAUACUUGCUUUUAAGAGUGUACAAGCAUAUACUUUUGAUACAGAAUAACCUGAGAAAGGAAGAGUGAAAAUAACUUUUGAAAACAAGGACUUGGAACUACUUAAUUUCAUUAGAGGGAAGGAUAGGUGUGCUUAUGAGUUUCUGAUUCAGCAGAAUCAAAUGCUGGGAACAACAAAGGGGCGGCCACUUCUUUCUUUCAUUUUAUUGAGCGGGAAGGAUGCCUGUGGCAGUAGUAAUGGAGAAGCAGCAGCUCUGGGAUCCAGAAUAUCUUAUUCUUCUCAUCUCUCAACCCACACAAGUUCCUUCUUUCAGGUGUAGCAGAGUCAUUGGGGCCCAGUAGAUCUGUAAAGAACAAGGCCAGGAUUGCCAUUCCCUUGGCAUUGUGCCACUAGUCCCCUGCUCCUGAUUUCAUCUACUCCUUCCUGAUUUUAUCUGUUCAUUUAAACUGAAGAGCACUUGGCAUUAUCCAGCAAUGUAGGCUGUCAGAGAGCACUGCAUAAGGCAGAGGGAACAGGGAAGAAAUAAAAAUAUCCUAGAUAGGUGUACAUAAUGGGAAUGGAUAUAACUGAUAGCAUAAAAGCAUUAAGUAAAAUUGCUAAUUACAAGAACAAAAUUAUAAUUGCAAAUGUAUUUGAACUGUAGAUUUUUGCAGUAGUUUAAAUGUUUUUUCUUCAUCCACUUUGCCCAGAAAUAUAGGAAGUAUCUGCAGAUCGAAUGUUUCCCUGCAAUACAGAAGUACUCUUUGUCUAGCAGAAGCUGACAAAUAAACAGACGUUAUAAACCCAUUUUUUUUACCUUUUUUUAACGGGAAACUUACAAGAAUGGGAGUCUUAAUUGAGAAGGUAGUAAUUGAGAAGCGCCUUAGUAGAGAUUAAAAAAAAAAAGUAUUUGUUAUAAGUGGUGUCCCUGUUCAAGAAUGCUUGCUCCUCUUAAGAAAAAAAAAUAUCCAGUCAAAGGCAUCUUACAGAUAUAAGACAAGCUUUCCAAGACAAAGUGUAAUUUCUUGAUAGUGGGCUACUAAGUGUAGUGAUGACUGGAAGAAAGCACAUCAUAAGGAAGAGUUUAGUUAUUUCUUCAGAAUGUGUGCUGAAUCCAAUAGCAAAGAACUAAACAUUUCCGUAUUAUGUCUACUUCUAUCUCUCCAACUUCCACAGUACUAUGCAGCAGUGAAAAACCCACUGGCUGCUUCCUCUUGGAGGAAAACAUGUUGCUUUUAAUAAAAAGGAGGAGAUGUAUUUCAUGUCUGUUGUUCAAUUAUAUUUCUUACAGGGAUAUUUUUACAGGUAUCAAGAUAACACUUGUCCUUCACUUUAUUAAGGUGAAUGUUAUUAAAACUAUAUAACCCAUCAUUGCAAAAUGGAAUUUUUAGACCUGAUUCUUGUAGCUGGUCUUAGAACCCUUUAUAAAAAUACAAGAACUUGGAUCUACUGAAUGCCAUCUUUUUGCAUUCAUCAAAAUUUAGAGUGGUUUUUUGUCAUGGCAUAAUAUAAGGACAUCAAAGUUUAGAAGUUUAUUUUGGAAGAAUUUUAGAAAGGAGGAGUCUAGUCCAUGUGAGAAUUAAAAUUCUUAUAUUCUUAUCAACUUAUUCAAAGUUGAUAAAUUAUUAUACUGAUAUCAUAACUUUUUUAGAUGAAGAUAGAUAUUUUAUAGACAUGUCAAGAAGGUGAAAAUCUUUAGAGAUUCAUUUUACAGCUGUGGGUUAAGACGCACACACACACACACGCGCGCGCGCACACACACGCAAAAUCCUAGGGCUGUUACCAAAUAUGAGAAAGUAGUUGACUGUGAUACUGAAUUCAAUUUUGAGUAGGACUCUUUAACAAGGAAAAUUGAGAAAAAGCAUUUAUAAUUAGGCAAUACAUUAAAAAUCCUGUAAAAGAAUUAUUGCUAAAGAGCAAGAAAUUAAAUAACAUUAAAAUGGCUGGAAAUAUGCAUACAGAUCACACAAGAAGAUGCAUAUAUUUAUUCCUUAAUUACUAUUUAUUCAACAUUUGGUAUAGAUUAGAACUUUUGGUGUUUACCUUUGGAUUUCUGUGGUGAAGAUGGUAUUUCAUCUAUGUUGUUUGGUGUUAACCACAUUUCCAUAAAACUAUAGUGUCCUAUAGCUUGUAUCUGUCAUCCUACUAGUGGACAUACAGAUUCAUUUAUAGAUAAAUCUAUUUUUACUUUGUGUAGAGCAUAAGCUACAUUCCUUACCAGUUGAGAAUUAUCAGAUCAAUACUUAGAAAGGAAGCCUCUACUACGACAUUGCUGGUUACUUUUGAAAUACCACUGGCUAUGAAGGAAAUCUAAAAUACCAAGAAGGUGGCGGAUGUAGUAUAAAAUAUUUUAUACAGUGUCUAAAGCAUAUGAUACAAUAAAUAUAUAGGAUGUAGCUGCCAAGGCAAAUAAAGGUUGCUAUUUUACUUGAUCCAAAACCCUACAAAAUUUGGGGGAGGGAGUAGGGAGUGGGGAAGGAAUCAACAUAGUAAUUUUGGAUUUUUGCAAAAGGUUGGCUGUUGCCUUGCUAAGCCUUACUUGCGAAAUUAAUUCAAAUUGGCUUGGAUAAGCGCACUGUCAUGUGGAUUAAAAGCUGGCUGAAAGACUACAAACAAAGGGUGUCUUGAGGGUACCACAGGGAUCACUGCUAGAACUAGUCAUUUUUGACAUCUUUCUUAGCGAUCUGGGAAAGAGUGUUAACCACAUGCUAAUAAAAUUAGCAUGUGACACUAAAUUGUGAGGGGAUAGAAAUACUUGAAAGUUUAAAGAAAAAAAA